RNAcentral lists this ribosomal RNA (460 nucleotides) under uncultured bacterium. RNAcentral describes it as "partial 16S ribosomal RNA". It matches the Rfam family "Bacterial small subunit ribosomal RNA", at positions 338 to 795 of the family's 1533-position model. The record is from RNAcentral.
CCUACGGGAGGCAGCAGUGAGGAAUCUUUGUCAAUGGGCGAGAGCCUGAACCAGCAAAGUAGCGUGAAGGAUGACUGCCCUACGGGUUGUAAACUUCUUUUAUAAAGGAAUACAGUGAGGCUCGUGUGCCUUUUUGUAUUUACUUUAUGAAUAAGGAUAGGCUAACUACGUGCCAGCAGCCGCGGUACUACGGAGGAUCCGAGCGUUAUCCGGAUUUAUUGGGUUUAAAGGGAGCGUAGAUGGGUUGUUAAGUCAGUUGUGAAAGUUUGCGGCUCAACCGUAAAAUUGCAAUUGAUACUGGCAGCCUUGAGUACAGUAGAGGUAGGCGGAAUUCUAGGUGUAGCGGUGAAAUGCUUAGAUAUCACGAAGAACUCCGAUUGCGAAGGCAGCCUACUAAACUGCCACUGACAUUGAGGCUCGAAAGUGUGGGUAGCAAACAGGAUUAGAUACCCUUGUAGUC